This 1548-nucleotide long non-coding RNA is filed under the name Canis lupus familiaris (dog). RNAcentral describes it as "lncRNA (ENSCAFG00030022320.1)". The record is from RNAcentral. Lineage: Eukaryota; Metazoa; Chordata; Mammalia; Carnivora; Canidae.
AAAUGUAGUAGAUCGGUCCCCCGGACGGCAACUAUCAAACGACCAGACGUAAAUCCCAGUUCUGUUUACUCGCGGUAUCAACGGGGCUGUUUGAAUAAAGCCAGAAAGGAAGAGCGGGAAGGAAAGCCCCGCGUCCGUGUCCUGGGGAGCCUGACAGUGCCCCUGGGUCAGGAGGCGACACUGCCCUGGGAGCGAGGCCCCGCGCGGUCCGGGCCGCCCCGACUCCCAGUCCCGCGUUCACGUGGCCACAGCCGCGUCCCGGGGGCCCCAGGCCUCUGCCUGGCAGGAGCUCACGGCCUCCGCGGUGUCCGGGGCGUCCAGGGCCACCAGCGAGGGCCAGACGGGCCGACGGCCCAGGUGGCUCGGGCACCGACUCGGCCUAAGGGGGCGACUGCGGGAGCCCCGAGCGGAGCCGGGCCCCGAGGCUGCAGCAGGCCCGCGGCCGGGGUGGGCGCCCCUCCCGGGGGAGACCAGCACCCGAGGGGCCGUCCUGGGCCACCAGCCCACGGCCGGAGUCCCGCGGGGAAGGACGGAGGGAGGGGACGAGCCCCGGGGCAGGGACGAGAACCGCGGAAGGCCGGGCGGCCCGCUCCACCGGACCCCACGAAGACCCCCGUGUCCCCCGAAGGCCCAGGCCUGGGCUUCCAGCCGCAACAGAGGCCGGUCCCGAGGACGGUGCCGGUCACGGGCCACCGCCAGGCCUCUCGGGCAGGACACAGGCGAGGCGCUCGGGGAAGAGACAGGCUCUGCGCCCCAACAGAGGUCACCUGUCCCCCGCCCCCCUGCCGCUGGGAGGUGCGGUGCUGGCUCGUCAGGGGUUUUUGUAAUCCCGUGGUUCCUGGGGAGUCUCACCUUAAGGGUACUGGUCACACCUGUCACCAAAUCCAGGGCUGCUUAGUAAUGUCCCCUCCACGGCCCGAGGCUGGCCCUUGGGCCGCGGGGAGGUCUGGGCCACGCCCUGGGCCCUCUGGCACCGCGACGCCGAGCUCCCGGCCGCCGGGACUCCCGACUUGUCUUGCCCCGCGUGGGACCUCCCCGAGGACACGCCAGCCGCUCCUGCGAGAGGUCCCCGCGGUCCGCGUCGCAGGCAUCGCCCACGGGAAGGCCCACGCCCCCGCGAGGGGCCCGGCCCACAGCCUGCAGCCCGCUCCCCGCGGUCCCCGUGCUCCCCGCGCUCCCCGUGCUCCUGGGGCAGCUGAUGGGCCACGAAGCACGUCCUGCCCGGGGAGAGCGCGGCGGCCGAGGCAAGGCCGCGGCGAGACAGUGGGCCUUGGGGCGGAGCGUCGGACAGCGGACAGCGCACACCCGCUCUCAGGGGUCACCCUUGCGGCCCCUCAGGCCCUGCUCGCCUUCUGGUGGCAUCUUCUCUCCUCGGACUUGCCCUCAGCUCGACUGGAAGCACCGAUGUGCGCGUGUCUGGGGUGUGAGGCUCUGGGUGAGGCCCGUGAAGUCCGCCCAGGCCGGUGCCCCGAAGCGCACGUGCGUGGGUCACAGGCGUCAUCCAAGGCUGCUGGGUACAGGGUCACGAGGGGCAAACAGUGCACAUGA